Perognathus longimembris pacificus (Pacific pocket mouse) is the source of this 273-nucleotide long non-coding RNA. RefSeq lists it as uncharacterized. The transcript has 3 exons. NCBI's taxonomy places the organism in Eukaryota, Metazoa, Chordata, Mammalia, Rodentia, Heteromyidae. The record is from RefSeq and is a predicted model, not a curated record.
GAGGCUGGGAAUCAAAGAGAAACAGGGAGUGGCUGAGGUCCCAAUAUCCUCUUCAAGGAUAUUUAUGGCACCCCUCCCCCACCCCCAAUAAUGUGGCACUUUUUCUAGGCCUCAUAGGCUGAAAACUCCAAUACCUCCCAAAAGAAUUGUGGGGCUUUGGACCAUUCUUUCAACAUAUGGGCCUUUGGAAAACACUUCACACUUGAACUCUAACAAUGACCUCAGACACAGAAUGGUGCCUUAGAUAAUUUUAUGUACUGUGUGAUUUUCGAA